UACGUAGGGGGCAAGCGUUGUCCGGAUUUAUUGGGCGUAAAGAGCUCGUAGGCGGUUCGGUAAGUCGGGUGUGAAACCUCCAGGCUCAACCUGGAGUCGCCACUCGAUACUGCUGUGACUAGAGUCCGGUAGGGGGGCGUGGAAUUCCUGGUGUAGCGGUGAAAUGCGCAGAUAUCAGGAGGAACACCAGCGGCGAAGGCGGCGCUCUGGGCCGGAACUGACGCUGAGGAGCGAAAGCGUGGGUAGCAAACAGG
This 254-nucleotide ribosomal RNA is filed under the name uncultured bacterium. Its description in RNAcentral is "partial 16S ribosomal RNA". It matches the Rfam family "Bacterial small subunit ribosomal RNA", at positions 524 to 776 of the family's 1533-position model. The record is from RNAcentral.